GAGUUCCCCCGACCGAGACUUUCACCUGAGAGCGUGACGGAUCAGCCCAACUUACUACCUACGAAAAAAUGUGUGUGCGGCGCGCCAAAAGAAGUUUUCAAAUGAAGAAAACCGAACAUGAAAUAGAUUAAUUCGUUUCGAAGUGUCAGUGUGAUGGGGCAGUGACGUGUUCGAAAAAUAAAUAUGUGGUCAAGAUGAAGCUGUGGAAGAGCCUUAAGAUAUCCAUAGGCAAAACUGACCCUAAGGGUUAUCAGCAGGGCCUCCCACAGUGGGGACAGGGAUAUGAACUAGAUGUUUUCAAAUCGCAGACAUCACUCUCAACGGACUCCGGUCUGUGUACGGAGCGCGGUUUGAGAAGAACACAUAUUGAGCUGAUAAAACCUCCGGGGAAACGGAUAGGACUUAAACUGGCAGGUCAGUUUUAUACAUAAGUUUUAUAUACUGACAACUUCCUACUACAAUAUUAUUAUAUCUUUAAGUAGUGCAGUAGUUAGGGGUCUAUGAGAUAAAAA
Molecule: unclassified non-coding RNA, 512 nt
Filed under: Melitaea cinxia (Glanville fritillary)
Lineage: Eukaryota; Metazoa; Arthropoda; Insecta; Lepidoptera; Nymphalidae
Description: misc RNA ENSMCXG00005014456.1
Source: RNAcentral